Molecule: ribosomal RNA, 200 nt
Filed under: uncultured bacterium
Lineage: Bacteria
Description: partial 16S ribosomal RNA
Rfam family: Bacterial small subunit ribosomal RNA
Source: RNAcentral
UAGUCUGCAACUCGACUACAUGAAGCUGGAAUCGCUAGUAAUCGCAGAUCAGAAUGCUGCGGUGAAUACGUUCCCGGGUCUUGUACACACCGCCCGUCACACCAUGGGAGUCGGAAAUGCCCGAAGCCGGUGACCAAACCAAUAAGGAAGGAGCCGUCGAAGGCAGGUCUGAUAAUUGGGUGAAGUCGUAACAAGGUACC